GUCUACAACCAUACCACCCUGAACGAGCCCGAUCCCUUCUAUUCUCGGAAGCUAAGCAGGGUCGGGCCUGGUUAGUACUUGGAUGGGAGACCACGUAGGAAUACCAGGUGCCGUAGGUG
Molecule: ribosomal RNA, 119 nt
Filed under: Pteropus alecto (black flying fox)
Lineage: Eukaryota; Metazoa; Chordata; Mammalia; Chiroptera; Pteropodidae
Source: RNAcentral